GAUGAACGCUAGCUACAGGCUUAACACAUGCAAGUCGAGGGGCAGCAUGGUCUUAGCUUGCUAAGGCCGAUGGCGACCGGCGCACGGGUGAGUAACACGUAUCCAACCUGCCGUCUACUCUUGGACAGCCUUCUGAAAGGAAGAUUAAUACAAGAUGGCAUCAUGAGUCCGCAUGUUCACAUGAUUAAAGGUAUUCCGGUAGACGAUGGGGAUGCGUUCCAUUAGAUAGUAGGCGGGGUAACGGCCCACCUAGUCUUCGAUGGAUAGGGGUUCUGAGAGGAAGGUCCCCACAUUGGAACUGAGACACGGUCCAAACUCCUACGGGAGGCAGCAGUUAGGAAUAUUGGUCAAUGGGCGCAGGCCUGAACCAGCCAAGUAGCGUGAAGGAUGACUGCCCUAUGGGUUGUAAACUUCUUUUAUAAAGGAAUAAAGUCGGGUAUGUAUACCCGUUUGCAUGUACUUUAUGAAUAAGGAUCGGCUAACUCCGU
This 488-nucleotide ribosomal RNA is filed under the name uncultured bacterium. RNAcentral describes it as "partial 16S ribosomal RNA". It matches the Rfam family "Bacterial small subunit ribosomal RNA", at positions 28 to 506 of the family's 1533-position model. The record is from RNAcentral.